Molecule: ribosomal RNA, 795 nt
Filed under: uncultured bacterium
Lineage: Bacteria
Description: bacterial SSU rRNA
Rfam family: Bacterial small subunit ribosomal RNA
Source: RNAcentral
AGAGUUUGAUCAUGGCUCAGGUUGAACGCUGGCGGCGUGCCUAACACAUGCAAGUCGAGCGGUAACAGGUGUAGCAAUACAUGCUGACGAGCGGCGAACGGGUGAGUAAUGCUUCGGAAUCUGCCCAAUGGUGGGGAAUAACUAGCCGAAAGGUUAGCUAAUACCGCAUGAGCCCUACGGGGGAAAGCAGGGGAUCGUAAGACCUUGCGCCGAUGGAUGAGCCGAAGCCGGAUUAGCUAGUUGGUAGGGUAACGGCCUACCAAGGCGACGAUCCGUAGCUGGUCUGAGAGGACGACCAGCCACACUGGGACUGAGACACGGCCCAGACUCCUACGGGAGGCAGCAGUGGGGAAUAUUGGACAAUGGGGGAAACCCUGAUCCAGCGACGCCGCGUGUGUGAAGAAGGCCUGCGGGUUGUAAAGCACUUUUAGUGGGGAUGAAAAGCUCAGGGCUAAUACCUCUGGGUCUUGACCUAACCCACAGAAAAAGCACCGGCUAACUCUGUGCCAGCAGCCGCGGUAAUACAGAGGGUGCGAGCGUUAAUCGGAAUUACUGGGCGUAAAGCGUGCGUAGACGGUUAUGUAAGUCGGGUGUGAAAGCCCCGGGCUCAACCUGGGAAUGCCAUUCGAGACUGCAUAGCUAGGGUGCGGAAGAGGGAAGCGGAAUUUCAGGUGUAGCGGUGAAAUGCGUAGAUAUCUGAAGGAACACCAGUGGCGAAAGCGGCUUCCUGGUCCAGCACCGACGUUCAGGCACGAAAGCGUGGGGAGCAAACAGGAUUAGAUACCCUAGUAGUCC